GAAAAUAUUAAACAGUGAAAUCACUAAUUUAUAAGUACCCAACACCAUGCUUUCUACAAAUUAUUUUACAGUAGAGGACAGAAUGACUCUCAUACACUCUGCUUUUUCUGGAAUGGUUCCUGGGUCUUCUGACCACCCAAGUCUUGCAGAGUUCUCCCACAUUUAUCCCAGUUGUCACAGAUGAGAAGCGCUUUCUCUUCUGGUGACCUUCGGCCCCUGGCAGCACUGAGCCGCGAAAGAGCAUCUGGAGGAUGUGAAGCUUGGUCCUGACUUUGCCCUUAACCAAGACCUCGGUGACCUUGAGCAGGGGCCGGGCAGGGGGGAAGGUCACAGACUCUCUGGGUCUCUGUUUUCUCAACUCUAACCUAAGAGGCUGCACUCAGUAGGCCCAGUGUGUCUCCAUGAUUCUGUGAAUCUGUAACUUUCAAAAUCUUCAGAACACCCGUGAAGGGUAAGCAGGCAGGGAUUUUUGUCCAUAUUUGACUCAUGAAGAAACUAAGGAUGGAGGAAGUGAGAGGACUGAGGAGUGUUUGAACCAGCGCCAGAAGUGAGUUCACCUGAGUUCCAGCACAAUAUUCCUUCUAGCGUGAGAGAAACAUGGACCCUUCCUCCCAGGAAUUUACUAUCAAGCUUAUUCAGCUGGCACUGGUUUGAGGAAAGACUACAGGCUCUUAAGAGAGGUCAGCAAGGGAGGCAGGACCGCCAGAAAGGGCCGGUCGGACCUGGGUCAUGGCCGCUGUGAGGAGGGAAAUCGGAAGAGGCUGUUUGCUGAGGGGCUGGCAUUCCCUGGAGCACAAGGGAAGGGGAAGUUGCCAGGAAACCCUGAGUUUUCCAACCUGACAAUCAGGCCACAGCUGAGUUUUUAUAGGAAAUUGCCCAGCU
This 882-nucleotide long non-coding RNA is filed under the name Equus caballus (horse). RNAcentral's name for it is "lncRNA (ENSECAG00000044862.1)". Lineage: Eukaryota; Metazoa; Chordata; Mammalia; Perissodactyla; Equidae. The record is from RNAcentral.